RNAcentral lists this ribosomal RNA (497 nucleotides) under uncultured bacterium. RNAcentral describes it as "partial 16S ribosomal RNA". It matches the Rfam family "Bacterial small subunit ribosomal RNA", at positions 28 to 507 of the family's 1533-position model. The record is from RNAcentral.
GAUGAACGCUGGCGGCGUGCCUAAUACAUGCAAGUCGAGCGAACAGACGAGGAGCUUGCUCCUCUGACGUUAGCGGCGGACGGGUGAGUAACACGUGGAUAACCUACCUAUAAGACUGGGAUAACUUCGGGAAACCGGCGCUAAUACCGGAUAAUAUAUUGCACCGCAUGGUUCAAUAGUGAAAGACGGCUUUGCUGUCACUUAUAGAUGGAUCCGCGCCGCAUUAGCUAGUUGGUAAGGUAACGGGUUACCAAGGCUACGAUGCGUAGCCGACCUGAGAGGGUGAUAGCCCACACUGGAACUGAGACACGCUCCAGAGUCCUACGGGAGGCAGCAGUAGGGAAUGUGCCGCAAUGGGCGAAAGCCUGACGGAGCAACGCCGCGUGAGUGAUGAAGGUCUUCCGAUCGUAAAACUCUGUUAUUAGGGAAGAACAAAUGUGUAAGUAACUAUGCACGUCUUGACGGUACCUAAUCAGAAAGCCACGGCUAACUACGUG